AUUUGACCUCAAAUCAGGUAGGAGUACCCGCUGAACUUAAGCAUAUCAAUAAGCGGAGGAAAAGAAAAUAACAAUGAUUCCCCUAGUAACUGCGAGUGAAGAGGGACAAGCUCAAAUUUUAAAUCUGUUAGGUUUACCUAACCGAGUUGUAAUUUGAAGAGGCGUUUUUCUGUGUUUUUGAUCAGCCCAAGUCCUUUGGGAUAGGGCAUCAUGGAGGGUGAGAAUCCCGUUCGGUUGAUCAGAUUCGCUUUACGAUACGUCAUCUAAGAGUCAAGUUGUUUGGGAUUGCAGCUUAAAAUGGGAGGUAAAUUUCUCCUAAGGCUAAAUAACGGCGAGAGACCGAUAGCGAACAAGUACCGUGAGGGAAAGAUGAAAAGAACUUUGAAAAGAGAGUUAAACAGUACGUGAAAUUGUUGAAAGGGAAACGAUUGAAGCCAGUCGUACCUUCGGGUAAUCAGCCUUUCGGGUGCGAUUCUGUGGAGCGUGGGGAGUUAAACGCCUUCAUGCCUGCAUAUUCGUGCACUUUGGGUGUACUUGCCCGUGUGGUAGGUUAACAUCAAUUUCGGAUGUCAUAAAAUGGCUGGAGGAAUGUAGCUUCGGUCUCGUACUGAAGUGUUAUAGCCUUUGGUAGAUGUGAUGACCGGGAUUGAGGAUUGCAACGAAUACCUUUUGGGCUAUCCGUCUGAUCUCUGAAAGUUGCUCUGGUGCCGAAAGCUUGCUUACGGUUAUCAAAGUUGACGUUCAAAAGGUUAGAACGGGUUAAAUUCGUUAAGGAUGUUGACGUAAUGGCUUUAAACGACCCGUCUUGAAACACGGACCA
Molecule: ribosomal RNA, 820 nt
Filed under: Rhizophagus intraradices
Lineage: Eukaryota; Fungi; Glomeromycota; Glomeromycetes; Glomerales; Glomeraceae
Description: eukaryotic LSU rRNA
Rfam family: Eukaryotic large subunit ribosomal RNA
Source: RNAcentral